This 1374-nucleotide ribosomal RNA is filed under the name uncultured bacterium. Its description in RNAcentral is "bacterial SSU rRNA". It matches the Rfam family "Bacterial small subunit ribosomal RNA", at positions 28 to 1381 of the family's 1533-position model. The record is from RNAcentral.
GAUGAACGCUGGCGGCGUGCCUAAUACAUGCAAGUCGAGCGAACGGACGAGAAGCUUGCUUCUCUGAUGUUAGCGGCGGACGGGUGAGUAACACGUGGAUAACCUACCUAUAAGACUGGGAUAACUUCGGGAAACCGGAGCUAAUGCCGGAUGAUAUUUUGAACCGCAUGGUUCAAAAGUGAAAGACGGUCUUGCUGUCACUUAUAGAUGGAUCCGCGCUGCAUUAGCUAGUUGGUAAGGUAACGGCUUACCAAGGCAACGAUGCAUAGCCGACCUGAGAGGGUGAUCGGCCACACUGGAACUGAGACACGGUCCAGACUCCUACGGGAGGCAGCAGUAGGGAAUCUUCCGCAAUGGGCGAAAGCCUGACGGAGCAACGCCGCGUGAGUGAUGAAGGUCUUCGGAUCGUAAAACUCUGUUAUUAGGGAAGAACAUAUGUGUAAGUAACUGUGCACAUCUUGACGGUACCUAAUCAGAAAGCCACGGCUAACUACGUGCCAGCAGCCGCGGUAAUACGUAGGUGGCAAGCGUUAUCCGGAAUUAUUGGGCGUAAAGCGCGCGUAGGCGGUUUUUUAAGUCUGAUGUGAAAGCCCACGGCUCAGCCGUGGAGGGUCAUUGGAAACUGGAAAACUUGAGUGCAGAAGAGGAAAGUGGAAUUCCAUGUGUAGCGGUGAAAUGCGCAGAGAUAUGGAGGAACACCAGUGGCGAAGGCGACUUUCUGGUCUGUAACUGACGCUGAUGUGCGAAAGCGUGGGGAUCAAACAGGAUUAGAUACCCUGGUAGUCCACGCCGUAAACGAUGAGUGCUAAGUGUUAGGGGGUUUCCGCCCCUUAGUGCUGCAGCUAACGCAUUAAGCACUCCGCCUGGGGAGUACGACCGCAAGGUUGAAACUCAAAGGAAUUGACGGGGACCCGCACAAGCGGUGGAGCAUGUGGUUUAAUUCGAAGCAACGCGAAGAACCUUACCAAAUCUUGACAUCCUUUGACAACUCUAGAGAUAGAGCCUUCCCCUUCGGGGGGGACAAAGUGACAGGUGGUGCAUGGUUGUCGUCAGCUCGUGUCGUGAGAUGUUGGGUUAAGUCCCGCAACGAGCGCAACCCUUAAGCUUAGUUGCCAUCAUUAAGUUGGGCACUCUAAGUUGACUGCCGGUGACAAACCGGAGGAAGGUGGGGAUGACGUCAAAUCAUCAUGCCCCUUAUGAUUUGGGCUACACACGUGCUACAAUGGACAAUACAAAGGGCAGCGAAACCGCGAGGUCAAGCAAAUCCCAUAAAGUUGUUCUCAGUUCGGAUUGUAGUCUGCAACUCGACUACAUGAAGCUGGAAUCGCUAGUAAUCGUAGAUCAGCAUGCUACGGUGAAUACGUUCCCGGGUCU